CAGCGCCACAAGUGGGGACCCGUAUUAUUGGGCCUAAAGCGUCCGUAGCCGGUUUAGUAAAUCUUAUGUGAAAUCGUAGGGCUUAACCUUACGGCGUGCAAAAGACACUACUAGACUUGAGACCGGGAGGAGUCAGAGGUAUUUCUUGGGUAGCGGUAAAAUGCAAUAAUCCAAGAAGGACCACCUGUGGCGAAGGCGUCUGACUAGAACGGAUCUGACGGUGAGGGACGAAAGCCAGGGGAGCGAACCGGAUUAGAUACCCGCGUAGUCC
This 271-nucleotide ribosomal RNA is filed under the name uncultured archaeon. RNAcentral describes it as "partial 16S ribosomal RNA". It matches the Rfam family "Archaeal small subunit ribosomal RNA", at positions 477 to 747 of the family's 1478-position model. The record is from RNAcentral.